This 306-nucleotide unclassified non-coding RNA is filed under the name uncultured Agaricomycetes. RNAcentral's name for it is "sequence contains 5.8S rRNA gene". Lineage: Eukaryota; Fungi; Basidiomycota; Agaricomycetes. The record is from RNAcentral.
GAACGCACCUUGCGCUCCCUGGUAUUCCGAGGAGCAUGCCCGUUUGAGUGUCAUGAAAACCUUCAACCCCCCUCGUCGCAUCUGUCGAGGAGGGAGGUUGGACUUGGGUGCUGCUGCCGCUCUCUCUGCGGCUCACCUCAAAUGCAUUAGUCGACUCUUGCCGGCCUCACCUUUGACGUGAUAGACAUCGUCGUCGAGGUUCAGGUUGGCCCACCUGGAGCGGCUCACAACUGUCUUUGGACAUCGAAAGAUACACAUAUGACCCCUUUGACCUCAAAUCGGGUAGGACUACCCGCUGAACUUAAG